Molecule: long non-coding RNA, 9810 nt
Organism: Mus musculus (house mouse)
Lineage: Eukaryota; Metazoa; Chordata; Mammalia; Rodentia; Muridae
Product: predicted gene, 46893
Exons: 3
Source: RefSeq, a predicted model, not a curated record
UGUGUGUGUGUGUGUGUGUGAUGUCGGUGUGAGUCCGUGUGUGUGUCUGUGUCUUUGUGUGUGUGUGUAAAUGUAAAUGUGUGUUCUGAAACAAGAUCUUAUUCUAGUGCAGAAUGACAUAGAAUUUACUUUGUAGCCAGGCUGGCCUCAACCUCCAAAUUGUGGGAUUAUAGACAUAAGCCAAAAUGCCCACAUUUUUCAAGCAUUUUAUGUGUGUGUUUAUACCUGUGGAUAUGGGGUAUGCACACAUGCCCAUGUAUGUGCACACAUACAGUCCAUAGAUCAACUUCGUGGCAUUUCCUUGAGUUCCCAUACCACAAGAACUUGUCAUUUCCAUUCCACAAGUGUCAUUCAUCUUGUGUUCUCUAAACCAGGUUUCCCAUUAACCUGUACAACACCAAAAUGGUAUGCUGUCAGCCUUCCAGUUCCAAGAAUCAGUUUCUUUCUGACUCUCCAGGUCUAAGGUUACAAUCAGGCAGCACUUGGAAUUGAACGGACGUACAUCAUCAAAUGAUCCACCUGCCUUCUUCAAUUUAAUCAUUUUAAACACUUUAUUAUUGGACCUCAAAAGAAAUUAAUUCAUCCUACUCCUGCUUUAAAUAGAUCUUUGUAUCAAAACUCUGGACAACGGCUUUCAGGUAAAAGUAAUGUUGCCCUCUUUCCUGUGAAUAUCUGGCAGGUUCUAAAUACAUUCUUUGCAAUAAUAACAUUAAUGAAUAGGAGGGCUAAUGUUUUGUAAGAGGAAGAAAUCAUAAAUAAUGCUAAAUGUACAUUCCUGUAUAGGAAAACCCCCAUACUAAUGAAUAAUCCAGACAAAAAUGUCAGUACACCUAGGAAUCUCUGUCUUAGGACAAUUAAUGAUCAAGGAGGGAAAAUGAAUGGUAGGAUUGGGGAUUUCAAGACCUACUUUGUAGAAUAGCUCUAAAAACACAAAUGUAAAGUGUUUCCAGUUGGUUUUAACUUACAGUCAAUCAUAUCCCAAAGUUCUAUCAGAAUUAUAGAUUGUUCUCAAACUUCCUUUUUGUCUUCAAGAUUGGUCAACAUGAGUUGACUCAUGGAAAAUGUAGUCUAUAAGACUAGGUGCAUGAAUAGUGUCAUUAAGUAAAAUAGGAGAACUGUGGAAUUCAGCACACAUGACCCUGAUGCAUGCCCUUGAAGAGAAGCCUUUCCCCCACUCACAGGGAUGCUGCAGCUCCAAGGAAGAAAUUACUCAGUUGCCAGGGUUGAUUUUUAUUUUAAGGAGUACAUAUUAGGUAGAAUGGUGAGGGGACAUCAGGACAGGAUGAGGAAGUGGAAUCUCGUGUGUCUAUUUCCCCAGUCAUGUUGUGAUGAAUGCUCAAUCUGCCUGGAAUGCUACUGAGAGCACAGGCAGUGGACUCCUUUUUCUGUUGUAACAUCAAGUAAAUGGCCACUAACACAAAGAGGAGCAAAGUAAUGAUAGGGGGAGAGGAAAAUUCUUAAAUCAGAACUUCAAAGGUGCUAGCCUCCUACCAGCACACAUUUCAUUGUUAUACAAUGGAUAUUCAUUUCGCAAGUUAGUUAUUCCCUCUCAGCUUCAGUGAAACCAUAGAGAGGUAAAAAUAAGGAAAAAAAAAUUCAUAGACUUCAUCAACAACCUCACCUAACAGACAAUAAAUAAUCCAAAGGACGUAAUGGAACCAGGCACCUAGUGAUAUGUGUCUGGCUGGCCUAAGAGGGUCUGCAGGUACUCAGUUUUUUUCCUAGCACAGUGUGUGCUUCUAUCCUCUCUAUCCCUAGCUCAGAUAAGAUUAUACUAAUUUUGAACAGGAGAAAACAAAUUUCUGGAAGUUGCACAGAAGGGGGUGAAGAAAAUCUAGGAAGACCUAAUGAAUAGAUCUGCACAAGAGUCCUUGGCCUAGACCUACAAAGAGAUCCCCAGUGAACAUUCACUCCAGAAACAAAGAACCGCCAAAGAAAGGACUAUUGUUUCUUUAGUGGUACAUCAUUAGGCACUCGUAUCUGUUAGACUGAAAAGAGCUUAGAAGAUGAGCUUAAUAGAACGGAUCAACCAGAAGUAGACUUUAAAUUCUUAUAGCUAGUAACUGAAGAAAUAAAAUCCACACACACCUCAAGGAAUACCCACUUUUACAUACUGCCAUCAAGGUCUUUAAAGCAUUGUUUUCCCUUUAAAAUUUAGCACAAAUACAAGCUAGCUAAAGAAGAGAAGACGGGUGGAUCUGAAGGUAAAUUCACCCAAAUGCUGAUGUUUAUCCAGGGGGAAAGAUGCCAGACAAAAUUUGCUUUAGUAUAAAGCUGCUGGGGGCAACAUGGUCAUAAUGAAAGAAAAAAUGAAGACACACAAUGGUUAUUUUUCAGAAGCAGUUGGCAUUAUAAAGUGAUUUGAUAAUAAAGCACUAAAAUUUCCUAAAGCAAUAAAAGCACUAUGCAUUUCCCACAGCAAGAUUUGUCAGACAAGCAAUGAUAAAAAUAUUUUCCCACAGAUUUGUUUUGAAAAAAAAAUAUACUCAAGACCUCCACAAUAUAAGCUUUGUAAAAUAUUGUUAUUUUUAUUGUUCUCCCAUAAAAUUCUUUUAAUGAAAUACACAGUACAGAUAUCAAAAAAGGAGUUUAAAGUCACCAAAUGCAUACUAAUAAAUGAGAUGCAGUAACUUUCUCAAUACCAAACUUUCAAGAUGCCAGUUGUAAAAUGAAUAGUCACAUAACUAAAAGAAAACAAAAUGUCAAUGACACUUAAGCUAAACUCCAUGGUUGGAUCCCGGCUUCACAUCUCACUUGGAAGUGUACUGGGCAGGCAAAGAAAAAAAGCAGGAGCAACUCCAGGGAGCUUGGCAGGAAUGUGUGAGGCAGGUGUGCAAUGAUGGGGUGGGGCUUAAUGCCUACUUAUCAUGUGUUGUAAGAUCAAACCCCAAAUUAAAAUGUCACUUCCUUGUGUGGCCUACAUAGUGUCUAUACUGCAGAGUCUCAUAUCUUUUUACCAUAUUUCUUUAGUGUUUACAGUCAUGGAUAUUGAGGCAUUGAUCAUAUUGGCCCCCUGAAAUUUUGAACAUGCAUACUUCUUCCAAGUGCAGGUCUGACUACAGUCAAAUGUCUCAUUUUAGUCGAUUCUGUAAUUUACAAGCUUGUAACUUUACUGCAUACACACCAUAGAUAAGCAAUAUCUAUAUUUUACUUACAAAUACAGCAUGAUAAAAAUAGAUAAUGAAGAUAUAUCUUAUAGCUUACACACUAUGAAUAUACUAAGAAAUAGAUAAAUUUAAAGGUUAUUUUUAAAAUAGCAAGAUAAAUUCUAUAUUUUUUCUAAGGCACAAAAUGAGCCAGUGGGACCUGCAACCAUAGGCAUAUUCUAGCUAUAUUUUUUUCAUAUAUAUAUUGAUGACCAUAGGCAAAAAUGAGCAUUUGGAUUGACCUGCCCACCAAUCCCUUUAGGAUUCAAAUGUUUAAUGUGACAAUUAAAGGCUCUAUGUCUAUGCAGCAACCACUGUCCACAUGAUGUAAUGCACAAGAUAAAAAGACAUUGGUAUUGUUUGAGAUUUCAAACAAUUGUCCUUUUUUUCUUAUCAGUAUAAUCCAUCAACACUAAACUAUACACAACUGGGUUUUGUUUUUUAAAUGACUAAUGUUGUUCUUUUGUUUCCAGAAAGAAAAAAAAUGAAUACAAGGCAGGAGUAGACUGGUGCAAGAGUCAUGUACUAAUAAACAAAACAGUAAGCUCUCUGAUCCUUGAACAGUGUACUGGGAAGAGAUGGGAGCAAAGGAGCAGCAUAAAAGAAAGGGCGAGUGUGUGAGCAAUGCAGCGUCUGGGUAUUUCCCUAGCAUGUUAGAGACCCAAGUUCAAUCCCCCAAACCAGAAAACAAAACAAGAAAAAGGGGGUAAAGGAAGAGCUGGGUUUUGGAAGAGAAUAUCUGAGCUAUGGACAGAGGAAGUUUAGAUAGGGUUCUGUGCUCUCACCAGGAUCCUCAGGAAAUAGCAGAUUUAGAAACCAGAUCCAGCUGUGAGUCAAUUGCCAGAGAACAUCUCAAAUAAGAUCUCCCCUCUCUGGAUUGGCUUUAUCCCAGCCUUUGCCAAGGGCACUCCACACUUCUGCUUUCUCGAGGAUCCCUGUCUUUGAAGAACACCUGGCAACUGCUAUGUAAUUUGGAGUUUUCAUCCUCCAGGAGUAACCUGCUGCUUAAGCUGAAGGCUGCUCCUCUUACCUUGUCAUUAUCUGUUUCUGGAAGGCUCUAGACAAAGUUGCUGACACUGCCAUGCUUCAAAGUCCAUCUGUGUGAAAUGAAACAGCCCCUGCCCCCUCCCUGCCUGGACACCAGUGAACAAACAAAGCACAUUCAAAUCGAUGACACAACAGGGCUUUGGAAAGAAACAUCAGUCCGUUGUCAAUAAAUCCAGCCUGCCUUUCUCAAGUGGGGUUCCAUGACAUAAUCUGCUUGAUAUGAAGUCACUUCUUAAUUCUCCCAAGGCUGGCACAAAGCUAGAACCAUUCUAGAUGUUCAGGAUGAAAGCUAACUCAUGUCACACCACAGAUGCCAUGGAGCAAUAAGGCUCAGUGUCCUUGGGAGUUCAGGGUAAAAGGACCUGGCACUAUAUGUAAUAUGUAAUAUAUAACAUGUAAUAUAUAGUAUGUAAACAUGGCUUUUCUGUGUGCUGUCAUUAAAAAAAAAACUUAUUGACCUGUGGACCAAAGACUUACUAUGCUGUUGAAGAAAAAUUAAAUAGCCUGGAGAAAUGCUUGAGUGAAUUGUUUGUAGAUUUCAGGAAGUCACAGGAAGUAACAACAACAGCAACAACAACAACAACAACAACAACGGGACCAACAAUAUUAAAGUUGAUAAAAUGUGCAGAGAAAAGCAUCUCCUCACGUAACAGCCAGGAUUUAUGAAGCUCAUUUAAAAUGCUCGAGGAUGUGCUUCAACAAGGCAUUUGUUUUCCAUCUUAGAGAAGGCAACAAGAAAAAUCGCCUUCUGAAACAUUUAGAACUGGCAUGAAACAGAAGUUUGAUUUCAAGUCAGUUUAACACAACACAGGAAUGUCUGCCUUAAGGCUAAUUAAUCUCACAAAGAGGUCUCCAUUAAAGAUGGAUCUCAUUGUUCAGUCAAGAAAACUGAGGUCCAGAGAAGAAAUUAUAGCCAGUAUUUCUCUAAAAGGCCCAGCAGAAGGACUUUUCAGAUAUGUAUCCUCUAAAUGAAAAUCCCAGCUAGCUCCCUAAACCACUACUGAGAAGAAAAGACAAGAAGGACUGUUGAUUUUAAUGAACGAUGCCCCUGCCAUUCAUGUUGAUAUUUAACCCCCCAAUAUCUCAGAGUUGCGCUUAUUAAGAUACAGGUUUUCACAGGGGUAACUAAGGUAAAAUGAUUCGUUUGAGUUUCCUGGUCCUUAAUAUUUCACAAGAAGAGAAGCAUUAGACCAAAAUAUCUAAAGAAAAAAGAAAGUAGACAGUGAGUGAGAAGACCCAUGAGUUCAGUAGCCAUCUACUGAGUAAAGGGGAAACGGAUUCUUCCCUCGGUCUCUAGAAGGAAUAUCUUGUAAGGGGUUUUCCAGAUGAAUAGAAUCAAGAGCAUUGGCAGGGGGAGGGGGCGCAUAGGAAGGAGGGAGAGAGAGAAGAGAGACGAGAGAGAAAGGUGGGAGAAGAAAGGAUAUUUAUUAAAUGAGCUUUAAAAUAGAGACAACAGUCAAGUCGCUACUGAGAUGCUAAAAACUCAGUAGUGGAGGCUGGGUUCCUCAACAUACUUAGUAGUCCCAGAAUAGCUGACCAUCUCUUGCUGGAGGACAACAAUAGGCAGUUACUCAGUCCACAGGGUGGAAUGCCUCAAUGGUCCCAAUCUGGGACCAGGAGCCUUGAAAGUUCUUGGAAAGUCACUAGUUUCAUCCCAUGAUUGCAAGCUUGGACAGCUACUGUUAGGAAAGUUAUCAGCAGGGCAGCAACAACAGAAGAGGGAAGACUAAGUCAGCAAUAGGCUCAGGAAGCUGCCCUCUGAAAUCUGCUUUUGAUAUCGGCUGCCGCCAUCCACAAUAGGCUGGGUCUUCCCACAUCAAUCAAGGAAAUCAGGAUAACUCUUCAGGUGAGGAUAUCUACUUGGGUGAUUCUAAUUUGUGACAAAGUGACAUUAAAAACAUCCAUAUGUCUCUUGUACUAAGACAAUAAAUUUCUGUCAUUAAACUACCAAGUGUGUGGUAUUUUGUUAAAGCAGAACGAGCAAACUGAUAAUAUUGCCAGAUUCUAAAUAAAUCUAUAAUUAAAAUUACCAUUCAAAUGUUAGUAAGUACAGAAUAAUUUUCUGUAAGUCCACAAUGUUUAUGUUUCUGGGGUUCUUAAGUUUUAAAUUGACCUCAUCUAAGCAAUCUGCUUUGUAUCAAGGAGAAAUUUUUAUUUUCAUUUUGAUAAAAAAUAAUAAAUCUAAGUAUAAAUAUAAGACCUACUAUCAAGUUAGAUAUUUUGAAGUAUUCACUCUAUGCUAUAUGCAAACCUUGCAGCUUCCUGAGAAUAUUCUGACUAUUAAAAUUAUUAUGAAUUGUGUGUAUAACUACAUAUAUUUGAUAAAAAUUAAUAAAAUUAAUUUCUACAUAGUAAACAUAUAUUGAUUAUAAUUUUAAUAGGUAAAAAUUUGACAAAUAUUCCUUUGCUAAGAAACUGUUUCCAAGUGAAUGCCACUUUGAGUCUGGCUAAGAUUUAUAGCAGGUAGUGACAUUUGUAACCUAACAACCUAAGGUCCAUGCAUCCAGUUCCCACAUGAUGAAAGGAGACUCUUUCUACUCCAUAUAUGUAGUGUGUGUAUACAUGCACAGAAACAAGAUUUUAAAAAAAGAAACUAGCAAGUUCUGUGCAAAGAAGUCCUUCAGUAAAAUUAACCAUCUCUCUAUGAACUUAGGGAUACAGGGGACAAACCUCAAUAAAAAGGAAGCCCAAUGAUAUCGUCUUUCUAAAGGAAAAAAAAUAGCAGCUCCACUAAAACAAGCAUGUGCAUUCUCUUCCCUCCCACUGAAUAGUAACUGGAGAAAUAAGCAAGUAUGUCAAAUAGUGAGCUAACAGUGAUGCAUAUUGUAAAUACAGAAAUCAAAGUAUCUUUAUUUUCAGAUGAUUUUAUUCUAUACAUAAAAUACCUUUAAAAGUCCAAGAGAAAACUCCUACUGCAAAUAAAUACAUUUUGGAAAGGCUAGUCAAAUGGUAGGACAGCCAAAAGAAUCCUGAACAACCAAAAUCUCUUUGAAGUAUGGCCAUUCCAGAUUUCAAGUCAUAUUACAGAGCUACAGAAAUGAAAAUAGUAUGCACUGGCAUUUCUAAAGACCCAUUGAUCGAUGAAAUAACUGAGAAGAACAUAUAAACCUAUACCGUAGGGCCAUAUGAUUUUGACCAUAUAGACAACACCGGAGAAAAGACACCUUCAAAAAAAAAAAAAAAAAAAAAAAAGAUGAUGCUAGUCAAACUGAAUACCUAUAUGAAGAAGAAUGAAACUCUAUUCCCAUGUCUAACCUGCACAAAGCUCAACCGAGGUGGAUUAAGGAUCUCACCAAUAGACUAAAGAAAAAUAUACUGAGCCAUCUAAGAAAUGCAAGUUAAGUUCUUACUCCAGUCAGAAUGCCUAAGGUAAAAAAAUAAACAAAUAAAACAAACAAUAACAACAAAAUAAUAACAAAUGUUGGGGAGAAUGUUAAGAAAGGAACACUUACUCACUGAUGGUGAGCUUGCCAGUACUGAAGUCAGUGUGGAGGUUCCUCACAGAUAAAAUCAUCCAGUGAUCCCACUCUUGGGUACGCACUCAAAGGACUUUAGAUACUACUCUAGAGAUACCUGUUUAUCCAUGUUCAAUACUGCUUUAUUCAAAAAAGUAAAAAUGAAGCCACUGUAAUAAUUCAUAUAUUUACACAAUAGAAUAUUAUUCAUCUGCUCAGAAAAAUGAAAAAUGCAAGUUAAAUGUAUUGCAACAACAUAACCAGAACCCAUAAAAGACAAGUCAGACCAAAGAGAGGGAAGUUGUACUGCAAAUAGGUUCAACCCCUAGCAAUGCAGCUAUUUGCAAUUGUUAGCUGCCAGACACAGCAUAUAUCUCUAAGAGGAUAGCUCCUAGUAAGUAAGUCAACCAUGUCCAAGAAGAAGACCGAAUGGUCUUGAAAGAUUAAAACGAAAGAAUAUAAAUGUGGGCAGGUACUAAAAGUAGGCAGAUCUAGGAAGACUUGGGCACUGAAUAUGAUCAAAACACACCACAUUGUAUUAAACUCUGAAAGAAUUAAUAAAAUUGGAAAUAGUACCUUCCAACUUCAUCAUAGUAUAAGUCAUAUUCAUAAACUCUGAUACAGGUCUAUUGCUAAUUUUAAACGUGGAAUGAUGAAGAUGAUGAUAAAUGAGAAAUACUUCAUCUUCUAUUCUGGGAGUUGUUCUUUCAGGAGACGGUUAAUGAGAACAAUACAUGGGAAAAAGGAAACGUCCAUUGAAUGUUAGCUGAUUACUGUUAUUAAAUCAUUUUUCAUAAGCACUUCAUUUGGGCAUUAGAGAGAUGACUCAGUGAUUUAGACCACAUACUGGUCUUGCAGAGGACCUGAGCUUAGCUUCCAAUACCCACAUUAGUGGGUAGCUUACCCACACACACAUGUACAUCCCCACAAGUAGACAUACAUGUACACAUGCUUAAAAAAAUGAAACUUUUAAAAGACCAGUUAAUUUUAAUUCUAAGAUUAAAUGUAAAAAUAAUUUUACUAAAUUUUCACAGAUUAAAACCUAACUACCAAUUUAUAUUUUAAUUAUGUUAAUUUUUUUCUUUUCUCCAAAUGCUUGCAAGAAAGUGAUAAAGACACAAAUAGAUACAUGUUUUGAGCAGGAAUCUCCUUCUAAAUCAAUUUCCCUGAGAAAGCAUCAGCUCUUUUCAACCAUCCCAUCAAGAGAUAUUUAAGAUCACAUUUGGUUUGUUUAGGUUUGGGCUUUCCCCUCUUUACCUCCCUCAUUAUUUUCAAAGAACUGUAUGAUCGUCUGUAUCUCAGAAACGCUAACAUUAUACCUUUUAAAUCACAUUUUUUUGCAUUGUCACAUUUCUUCAGUUAUAGUCCCAUGACUUGUAUAAUUUGCCUUUAUUCUCUUCAUUCACUCCAAAUCUCCCUAUUCCUUAUCAGAGCCCCUCUGCAAUCACUUCUCCAGUUUUCCCCACCUCUUCCGGAUGCCCAUGUCUUUCUGCUCUUUCAUAACCAUCAAUCUUCUCUCCCUUCUUGUUCAGGAAGGAAAACAUCUGUUCAACGUUCUCUCCUGGUCACAGUAAUAAAUCUUCCUCCGAAGAGCACUGCAUCUUUUCUUCCUCAGUCUCAGAAUAACUUUUCCAUUCAGCUGAAACAUGGGUUCAUGGCAUCAUUCCAGUAUUUUUAUUCUCAUACACCAUGGUUUAACUCCAAAGACUUAUGCUAAUACUCUGUGUACAAAGUUGCAUGGUCAAAGCUUACCUGCUGGGGUUUGAAAGAGAAAAGUCCCCCACAGGCUCAAGUGUUUUAACACUUGUUCACCAGUUGGUGGUGGUAAGUGGAAUCUUUGAAAGACUGGAGAAAGCAUAUCACUGGAGGUGGGACGUGUGGGGUUAUAGGCUGGCCCCAACUUCCUGAGAGUGGAUACAAGGUGAGCACCCUGCUUCCUCCUCCUGCCUCAUGGCUUUCCUGCCUGAUAGCUUCUAUCCCUCUGGAAUUAUAAACAAAAGUAAAUCCUUCUCCCGGAAUUUGUUUUUAUGGUAGUAUUUUUACUACAGCAAUGGAAAAGAAACUAAGACAAACCUGUGUCUUUUUUGUUCUGUACCUGUGAGUUGACUUGCUGAAUAUUUUCAGGCCUGAACUUUUCUACUUUGCUUCUCGAAAAUUCUACC